GAUGAACGCUGGCGGCGUGCCUAAUACAUGCAAGUCGAGCGAACGGACGAGAAGCUUGCUUUUCUGAUGUUAGCGGCGGACGGGUGAGUAACACGUGGAUAACCUACCUAUAAGACUGGGAUAACUUCGGGAAACCGGAGCUAAUACCGGAUAAUAUUUUGAACCGCAUGGUUCAAAAGUGAAAGACGGUCUUGCUGUCACUUAUAGAUGGAUCCGCGCUGCAUUAGCUAGUUGGUAAGGUAACGGCUUACCAAGGCAACGAUGCAUAGCCGACCUGAGAGGCUGAUAGGCCACACUGGAACUGAGACACGGUCCAGACUCCUACGGGAGGCAGCAGUAGGGAAUCUUCCGCAAUGGGCGAAAGCCUGACGGAGCAACGCCGCGUGAGUGAUGAAGGUCUUCGGAUCGUAAAACUCUGUUAUUAGGGAAGAACAUAUGUGUAAGUAACUGUGCACAUCUUGACGGUACCUAAUCAGAAAGCCACGGCUAACUACGUG
This 497-nucleotide ribosomal RNA is filed under the name uncultured bacterium. RNAcentral describes it as "partial 16S ribosomal RNA". It matches the Rfam family "Bacterial small subunit ribosomal RNA", at positions 28 to 507 of the family's 1533-position model. The record is from RNAcentral.